GAUGAAGAACGUAGCGAAAUGCGAUAAGUAAUGUGAAUUGCAGAAUUCAGUGAAUCAUCGAAUCUUUGAACGCACAUUGCGCCCCCUGGUAUUCCGGGGGGCAUGUCUGUCCGAGCGUCAUUACAACCCUCAAGCUCAGCUUGGUAUUGGGCCCCGCCGCUCCGGCGGGCCCUAAAGUCAGUGGCGGUGCCGUCCGGCUCCGAGCGUAGUAAUUCUUCUCGCUCUGGAGGUCCGGUCGUGUGCUCGCCAGCAACCCCCAAUUUUUUUCAGGUUGACCUCGGAUCAGGUAGGGAUACCCGCUGAACUUAAGCAUAUCAAUAAGCGGAGGA
RNAcentral lists this unclassified non-coding RNA (329 nucleotides) under soil metagenome. RNAcentral describes it as "partial contains 5.8S ribosomal RNA, internal transcribed spacer 2, and large subunit ribosomal RNA". The stretch from base 1 to 120 matches the Rfam family "5.8S ribosomal RNA", at positions 35 to 154 of the family's 154-position model. The record is from RNAcentral.